AGGGAGCAGAGACAGGACACCUGACCCAAACUGGCCACAGGGGUAUUCCAUAGCACAGCACGUCAUGCCCAGUACAGAAACUGGGGGGAGUCACAGGGAAGGCCCAGAUCACUGCUCGGGUUGGGCUGGGUAUCGAGUGAAAACAUCAGUUCCUGGAACAGUAGAACUGAAGCCAUGGAGCAACAAAUUCCAGCUGUUUCUCAAGGAUCAAUCCACCAUGUUUUGAGGAUGUUGAGGAGCCUUGGUGCAGUGUUUGAAUGCUUCUGGGAACAGUUGGCAUCCUAGCCAGUCUGCAUGCUGCAGGGAUGUUUCUUGCCCAAAUGUGGCACCAAUAGUGGAGUAGACACACGUGGCUGGACAUCCCAAAUACAAGAUUACUUUAGCACCAUUUCAAAGUGAUUUGUACUGUAAGAAAAUUCUGGAUAUGCUGCCACUUCAUUAGCUCUGUGCUGUGUGCUAAAGAAGAUGAGGAGAAUGACCAGGGAAAAGAGUGCAGCGUGAAGUGCUACUGUGACACUUACGUGACAGGCUUUUCAUUCAAUCCUAACUAGUGUUGACAAAUGACUUAUGUUUCUGCAGAAUAGGAAAUUCAGUCAUCAUGUUGCUUAAAUCUAUAAAGAAGAAAUAUCCUGUGGCUUAGGAGUGGAGAGAAAGAACUAAUUUGGUGAUUCUUCCACUGGAUGCAGCUUUCGGCACACUCGACAGAUACCAGUGCAUCACCUAAUCCUUGGUGUUAUGAAGUGGGCUAGAAAUGUGAAAAACCCAUUAAGAUUGGCCUGUCAUCAAGGUAGGAGUUAAAAAUCCAUUAUUAAAAUGUAUAUAUAGUUGUCAUAGAUACUAUGGGAUGUCCACAGAAACACCCAUGCUAACGAGCACCUGCAACCCAACUGUGAGAAAUAGUAGGGUUACCUUGAAAAAGAAAAGGCUACCUUGCUUAUAUAGAAAAAAAUAAAGGGCAACUUUCACCUGUCAAGAAGAAAAUCAAUAAUGUGGAAGCUCAAAUUUCUGCUUAUAGAACUGCUGUUCCAAACACUUAUUUCAAUGUACAUGUAUUUGCUGCUCUAUUAGGUGUAGAGAGCAGUUGAUUUGUGCCAGUCCUGCUCAUGAGCAUGGAAAGAGGUUUCUUAGUUUUAUGAACCAGUGAUGGGCAGCUCUUUUGGGAGGAGGUUGCUUGGUUGGUUUUCCCUUCCCGUGUUGGGGCUCCAGGCUUUUGCUCGUGCUCUGGAUACAGACAGACCUGUAUUGAUGAUGCCUUAAACUUCACCUGGAAGUUUAGGUUGGCUGUGCACGUUACAGGUUCCUACAAUCUGUUUGUCAAACCCAUCCCGUCGUGUGCGUUCAAACAUCAAAUGAAACUGGUUUCAUCUUGAAACAAAAUACAAAAAGAAAGGGAAGACCCUGCUUUUCCUGGCAAAAGGAGCUCUGGUGCUGCAGUGCCCAGCCCCAUUCCCUGCUCUGCUUGUCCACAAACCAGCAUCCUUCUGACCCACCCUUCCCUCAUUCCGGGAAACAAAUGGCAUCCACACAUGGUGCUGCACCAAAAUAGAGCAGAACUGGAAAAACCAGGUCAGUGCUGUCCAGACAAAACUCAGACUGCUCAGAUUGGUUCACUUGGGUAGAAAUAGGGAGCUCCACCUCCAUGACUGAGCCAGUUUUCUGCGUUAAAAUAGCUUUAGAGUUUGGCACAAAUCAAAGCUGAUUUUUUAAGCUUGAUAAUGGAAAGUUUGGGGGAUGCUGCUCUGGGAAAGGGCACUCCUCAGAGGCAACUGAAGAGAUGUAUGUAACCAAAUGCACCAUUUCCUUAGGCUGAGCUGUUGGGUGCAAGCAGGUGCUAAACCCCAUUUGCCUGGUUUUAAUUGGUGUGACUUGGGACAAGGUGAAUAGUGUGAACAAGCCUUUAUUUAGUUACUUCAUUGUGGUGUUCUACUGCAGGAAUGUGUUGGCAUAAAAGCAACAGCUCUGAAACCAGCUGUGCCAGGAGGUGCCAAUGUGACAGACUCAGCAAACACUGAAAGAUAAUGGAGUAUGUCCUGAGGGGCUGAUGAGCAGAGGGAUUUGGGAAAACAGUGGUUAAAAAGACAGGCAUGUGUGUGAGAGGCUGCUUAAAACUCAGCUGCAAUCCCACGUAUUGCAACAGGGCUUCUGGAAAGCCAGGAGCCACUAGCACAUUGUUUUGGAGCUUAGGAGGGAAUUAAAGGCCAAGGUCAGAUCUGCA
Long non-coding RNA from Strigops habroptila (Kakapo), 2215 nucleotides. RefSeq lists it as uncharacterized. The record is from RefSeq and is a predicted model, not a curated record. NCBI's taxonomy places the organism in Eukaryota, Metazoa, Chordata, Aves, Psittaciformes, Psittacidae. The transcript is spliced from 2 exons.